UUAAGUUCAGCGGGUAUCCCUACUUGAUCCGAGGUCAAAAGUGUUAAAUGUGCUUACUGGACGCUGAUGUUAUUAAUUAGAAUCGCAAAUUGUGCUGCGCUUCAAACCAAUACAUUGGCUGCCAAUGAAUUUAAGGCGAGUCCAAACGCAGAGGAAAGGACAAACACCCAACACAAGCAAAGCUUGAGAGUACAAAUGAC
RNAcentral lists this unclassified non-coding RNA (200 nucleotides) under Chaetosphaeronema sp. RNAcentral's name for it is "partial internal transcribed spacer 2". Lineage: Eukaryota; Fungi; Ascomycota; Dothideomycetes; Pleosporales; Phaeosphaeriaceae. The record is from RNAcentral.